RNAcentral lists this ribosomal RNA (706 nucleotides) under Escherichia coli. RNAcentral's name for it is "partial 23S ribosomal RNA". It matches the Rfam family "Bacterial large subunit ribosomal RNA", at positions 1178 to 1869 of the family's 2925-position model. Lineage: Bacteria; Pseudomonadati; Pseudomonadota; Gammaproteobacteria; Enterobacterales; Enterobacteriaceae. The record is from RNAcentral.
GGGCUAAACCAUGCACCGAAGCUGCGGCAGCGACACUAUGUGUUGUUGGGUAGGGGAGCGUUCUGUAAGCCUGUGAAGGUGUACUGUGAGGUAUGCUGGAGGUAUCAGAAGUGCGAAUGCUGACAUAAGUAACGAUAAAGCGGGUGAAAAGCCCGCUCGCCGGAAGACCAAGGGUUCCUGUCCAACGUUAAUCGGGGCAGGGUGAGUCGACCCCUAAGGCGAGGCCGAAAGGCGUAGUCGAUGGGAAACAGGUUAAUAUUCCUGUACUUGGUGUUACUGCGAAGGGGGGACGGAGAAGGCUAUGUUGGCCGGGCGACGGUUGUCCCGGUUUAAGCGUGUAGGCUGGUUUUCCAGGCAAAUCCGGAAAAUCAAGGCUGAGGCGUGAUGACGAGGCACUACGGUGCUGAAGCAACAAAUGCCCUGCUUCCAGGAAAAGCCUCUAAGCAUCAGGUAACAUCAAAUCGUACCCCAAACCGACACAGGUGGUCAGGUAGAGAAUACCAAGGCGCUUGAGAGAACUCGGGUGAAGGAACUAGGCAAAAUGGUGCCGUAACUUCGGGAGAAGGCACGCUGAUAUGUAGGUGAAGUCCCUCGCGGAUGGAGCUGAAAUCAGUCGAAGAUACCAGCUGGCUGCAACUGUUUAUUAAAAACACAGCACUGUGCAAACACGAAAGUGGACGUAUACGGUGUGACGCCUGCCCGGUGC